GAUGAACGCUGGCGGCGUGCCUAAUACAUGCAAGUCGAGCGAACGGACGAGAAGCUUGCUUUUCUGAUGUUAGCGGCGGACGGGUGAGUAACACGUGGAUAACCUACCUAUAAGACUGGGAUAACUUCGGGAAACCGGAGCUAAUACCGGAUAAUAUAUUGAACCGCAUGGUUCAAAAGUGAAAGACGGUCUUGCUGUCACUUAUAGAUGGAUCCGCGCUGCAUUAGCUAGUUGGUAAGGUAACGGCUUACCAAGGCAACGAUGCGUAGCCGACCUGAGAGGGUGAUCGGCCACACUGGAACUGAGACACGGUCCAGACUCCUACGGGAGGCAGCAGUAGGGAAUCUUCCGCAAUGGGCGAAAGCCUGACGGAGCAACGCCGCGUGAGUGAUGAAGGUCUUCGGAUCGUAAAACUCUGUUAUUAGGGAAGAACAUAUGUGUAAGUAACUGUGCACAUCUUGACGGUACCUAAUCAGAAAGCCACGGCUAACUACGUG
RNAcentral lists this ribosomal RNA (497 nucleotides) under uncultured bacterium. Its description in RNAcentral is "partial 16S ribosomal RNA". It matches the Rfam family "Bacterial small subunit ribosomal RNA", at positions 28 to 507 of the family's 1533-position model. The record is from RNAcentral.